GGUUUGGUACUUUAAGCUUAAAAGGCGAUAUUUGCAUUAUCGUAAUGAGGUGUUACUUCUCAAACCU
This 67-nucleotide transfer RNA is filed under the name Talonostrea talonata. RNAcentral's name for it is "Crassostrea talonata tRNA-Ala". Lineage: Eukaryota; Metazoa; Mollusca; Bivalvia; Ostreida; Ostreidae. The record is from RNAcentral.